GAUGAAGAACGCAGCGAAAUGCGAUAAGUAAUGUGAAUUGCAGAAUUCAGUGAAUCAUCGAAUCUUUGAACGCACAUUGCGCCCGCCAGCAUUCUGGCGGGCAUGCCUGUUCGAGCGUCAUUUCAACCAUCAAGCCCCCGGCUUGUGUUGGGGACCUGCGGCUGCCGCAGGCCCUGAAAAGCAGUGGCGGGCUCGCUGUCACACCGAGCGUAGUAGCAUACAUCUCGCUCUGGGCGUGCUGCGGGUUCCGGCCGUUAAACCACCUUCAUAACCCAAGGUUGACCUCGGAUCAGGUAGGAAGACCCGCUGAACUUAAGCAUAUCAAUAAGCGGAAGGA
This 337-nucleotide unclassified non-coding RNA is filed under the name soil metagenome. RNAcentral's name for it is "partial contains 5.8S ribosomal RNA, internal transcribed spacer 2, and large subunit ribosomal RNA". The stretch from base 1 to 120 matches the Rfam family "5.8S ribosomal RNA", at positions 35 to 154 of the family's 154-position model. The record is from RNAcentral.